Molecule: ribosomal RNA, 278 nt
Filed under: uncultured bacterium
Lineage: Bacteria
Description: partial 16S ribosomal RNA
Rfam family: Bacterial small subunit ribosomal RNA
Source: RNAcentral
UGCCAGCAGCCGCGGUAAUACGUAGGGGGCGAGCGUUGUCCGGAUUUACUGGGCGUAAAGGGUGAGUAGGCGGUAACGUAUGUCAGGUGUUAAAGGCGAGAGCUCAACUCUCGUAAGCACUUGAAACUGCGUAACUUGAGUGCAGGAGAGGUAAGUGGAAUUCCUAGUGUAGCGGUGGAAUGCGUAGAUAUUAGGAGGAACACCAGUGGCGAAGGCGACUUACUGGACUGUAACUGACGCUGAGACACGAAAGCGUGGGGAGCGAACAGGAUUAUAUA